RNAcentral lists this transfer RNA (72 nucleotides) under Camelus bactrianus (Bactrian camel). It matches the Rfam family "tRNA". From Rfam's summary of the family: Transfer RNA (tRNA) molecules are approximately 80 nucleotides in length. Their secondary structure includes four short double-helical elements and three loops (D, anti-codon, and T loops). Further hydrogen bonds mediate the characteristic L-shaped molecular structure. tRNAs have two regions of fundamental functional importance: the anti-codon, which is responsible for specific mRNA codon recognition, and the 3' end, to which the tRNAs corresponding amino acid is attached (by aminoacyl-tRNA synthetases). tRNAs cope with the degeneracy of the genetic code in two manners: having more than one tRNA (with a specific anti-codon) for a particular amino acid; and 'wobble' base-pairing, i.e. permitting non-standard base-pairing at the 3rd anti-codon position. Lineage: Eukaryota; Metazoa; Chordata; Mammalia; Artiodactyla; Camelidae. The record is from Rfam by way of RNAcentral. RNAcentral also lists the same sequence under 2 other names.
GUGUAUGUAGCUCAGUGGUAGAGCGUGUGUUUUGCAUGCAUGAGGUCCUGGGUUUAAUCCCCGGUACCUCCA